This 260-nucleotide long non-coding RNA is filed under the name Olea europaea (common olive). RNAcentral describes it as "long non-coding RNA (OEUR_LNC011867)". The record is from RNAcentral. Lineage: Eukaryota; Viridiplantae; Streptophyta; Magnoliopsida; Lamiales; Oleaceae.
UCGCAUGUGAAAAUAGGUUUAAUUCUACUCGAGAAAGAUUGUUAAACAAAUUAGGAAUAUUGGUCUUCAUAAUUGAAUCGUGUUGUCAAUUUUAUAAAAUUCGGAUUAAAGGGGAUUGAUAUAAGGGGAUUCGGGAUCCUAGUACGCAUUUCAUUAUCAUAUUUUUAUAAAACUUGAAUUUAGUUAUAAUCACGCAUUUAAUCUAGUUAAUUUAGGCUUUAUAUUUAUAAGUAGGUUAUUAAAUCAUAAUUUAGUUAGCG